CCUACGGGGGGCUGCAGUGGGGAAUCUUCCGCAAUGGGCGAAAGCCUGACGGAGCAACGCCGCGUGAGUGAGGAAGGCCUUCGGGUCGUAAAACUCUGUCUUCAGGGAAGAAAAAAAUGACGGUACCUGAGGAGGAAGCCCCGGCUAACUACGUGCCAGCAGCCGCGGUAAAACGUAGGGGGCGAGCGUUGUCCGGAAUUACUGGGCGUAAAGGGCGCGUAGGCGGUUAUUUAAGUCAGAGGUGAAAACUACCGGCUCAACCGGUAGCCUGCCUUUGAAACUGGAUGACUUGAGGGCAGGAGAGGGGAGUGGAAUUCCCAGUGUAGCGGUGAAAUGCGUAGAUAUUGGGAGGAACACCAGUGGCGAAGGCGGCUCUCUGGCCUGUUUCUGACGCUGAGGCGCGAAAGCGUGGGGAGCAAACGGGAUUAGAUACCCCAGUAGUC
Molecule: ribosomal RNA, 443 nt
Filed under: uncultured Cryptanaerobacter sp.
Lineage: Bacteria; Bacillati; Bacillota; Clostridia; Eubacteriales; Desulfotomaculaceae
Description: bacterial SSU rRNA
Rfam family: Bacterial small subunit ribosomal RNA
Source: RNAcentral